UUUACCCGCUGAACUUAAGCAUAUCAAUAAGCGGAGGAAAAGAAACUAACAAGGAUUCCCCUAGUAACUGCGAGUGAAGCGGGAAAAGCUCAAAUUUAAAAUCUGGCAGUUUCACUGUCCGAGUUGUAAUCUGGAGAAGCAUUUUCUGUGUCAGACCGUGUACAAGUCUCUUGGAAUAGAGCGUCAUAGAGGGUGAGAAUCCCGUCCAUGACACGGACCGCUGAUACUUUGUGAUAUGCUCUCGAAGAGUCGAGUUGUUUGGGAAUGCAGCUCAAAAUGGGUGGUAAAUUCCAUCUAAAGCUAAAUAUUGGCGAGAGACCGAUAGCGAACAAGUACCGUGAGGGAAAGAUGAAAAGCACUUUGGAAAGAGAGUUAAACAGUACGUGAAAUUGUUGAAAGGGAAACGCUUGAAGUCAGUCGCGUUGCUUGGGACUCAGCCUUGCUUUGCAUGGUGUACUUCCCAUUCAACGGGUCAACGUCAAUUUUGGUUGGUGGAUAAAGACUUAGGGAAUGUGGCAUCUUCGGGUGUGUUAUAGCCCUUUGUUGCAUACACUGACUGGGAUUGAGGACUGCAGCACGCCACUAUGGCCGGGGGGUUUACCUCACGUAACGUGCUUAGGA
Molecule: ribosomal RNA, 621 nt
Filed under: Xylodon exilis
Lineage: Eukaryota; Fungi; Basidiomycota; Agaricomycetes; Hymenochaetales; Schizoporaceae
Description: partial large subunit ribosomal RNA
Rfam family: Eukaryotic large subunit ribosomal RNA
Source: RNAcentral